RNAcentral lists this ribosomal RNA (955 nucleotides) under Microbacterium testaceum. RNAcentral describes it as "bacterial SSU rRNA". It matches the Rfam family "Bacterial small subunit ribosomal RNA", at positions 339 to 1305 of the family's 1533-position model. The record is from RNAcentral. Lineage: Bacteria; Bacillati; Actinomycetota; Actinomycetes; Micrococcales; Microbacteriaceae.
CUACGGGAGGCAGCAGUGGGGAAUAUUGCACAAUGGGCGGAAGCCUGAUGCAGCAACGCCGCGUGAGGGAUGACGGCCUUCGGGUUGUAAACCUCUUUUAGCAGGGAAGAAGCGAAAGUGACGGUACCUGCAGAAAAAGCGCCGGCUAACUACGUGCCAGCAGCCGCGGUAAUACGUAGGGCGCAAGCGUUAUCCGGAAUUAUUGGGCGUAAAGAGCUCGUAGGCGGUUUGUCGCGUCUGCUGUGAAAUCCCGAGGCUCAACCUCGGGCCUGCAGUGGGUACGGGCAGACUAGAGUGCGGUAGGGGAGAUUGGAAUUCCUGGUGUAGCGGUGGAAUGCGCAGAUAUCAGGAGGAACACCGAUGGCGAAGGCAGAUCUCUGGGCCGUAACUGACGCUGAGGAGCGAAAGGGUGGGGAGCAAACAGGCUUAGAUACCCUGGUAGUCCACCCCGUAAACGUUGGGAACUAGUUGUGGGGACCAUUCCACGGUUUCCGUGACGCAGCUAACGCAUUAAGUUCCCCGCCUGGGGAGUACGGCCGCAAGGCUAAAACUCAAAGGAAUUGACGGGGACCCGCACAAGCGGCGGAGCAUGCGGAUUAAUUCGAUGCAACGCGAAGAACCUUACCAAGGCUUGACAUAUACGAGAACGGGCCAGAAAUGGUCAACUCUUUGGACACUCGUAAACAGGUGGUGCAUGGUUGUCGUCAGCUCGUGUCGUGAGAUGUUGGGUUAAGUCCCGCAACGAGCGCAACCCUCGUUCUAUGUUGCCAGCACGUAAUGGUGGGAACUCAUGGGAUACUGCCGGGGUCAACUCGGAGGAAGGUGGGGAUGACGUCAAAUCAUCAUGCCCCUUAUGUCUUGGGCUUCACGCAUGCUACAAUGGCCGGUACAAAGGGCUGCAAUACCGUGAGGUGGAGCGAAUCCCAAAAAGCCGGUCCCAGUUCGGAUUGAGGUC